Molecule: long non-coding RNA, 12513 nt
Filed under: Sorghum bicolor (sorghum)
Lineage: Eukaryota; Viridiplantae; Streptophyta; Magnoliopsida; Poales; Poaceae
Description: long non-coding RNA (SBIC_LNC000060)
Source: RNAcentral
UGUGGGAGGGGAGGGGCUUGCGCCAGUAGUUGUUGAUUAGCACGAGCUGCUCCACGCCCUUGAUGCCGAGAAGCAGGAGCCAGCGGUCGAGCUGGUCUCGGUACUUUAACAACGGGUACAUGGGGGAUAGAACCUAUACGGCUAGACUUGGACCAGGAGGCUUAGCCCAUUACGAGACGAGUUCAAGGCUUGAUCCGACAGCCUGGAGUUUCGCGCAAGGAAGCAAGAUGUGGAGAUCAAGCAGGAUUCUAGUCGGUUAGAAUAGGAAUUGAUAUCGAACUAUCUAUGACAAUUGUAACCGACUAGGAUUAGUUUCCAGAUCUGUAACCCUGCCCUUCAGACUAUAUAAGGAGAGGCAAAGGACCCUCCUAGGACAUCAUAUUCUCUCAACACAAAUCAAUACAACCAGACGCAGGACGUAGGUAUUACGCCAACUCGGCGGCCGAACCUGGAUAAAAAGCUUGUCCGUGUCUUGCGUCACCAUCGAGUUCGUAGUUUGCGCACCGUCUACCGAUAAACUACUACCGUGGGUAUACCCCAAGGUAGACUGCCGACCAGCUUUCGUCGACAGUGGCGCGCCAGGUAGGGGGUGUGCGUGCAACUUUUCCGGCGAACAAGAUGGUCACGAUCCCAGCUUCCGCGACCGUGCCUGAAGGCCUCACGUUCACCGUUGGCCAGAUCACGUGGACAACGUGCAGCGGCGGCCUCACGACCACGGUUUCGAAAGAGACCCAGAUCCAAUCUGAGAUCACGCCGUCUCCGACCACACACGUGGCGGCACCGAGCGCCCGACCACCGUUCCCGCUCUACAAGGGAAAGAAGAUCGACAGCUCGGACCUUCUCCAAGCGCUUGAUCGCGCUGACUCCAAGCUACUCGAAGUUUCCCAACUAGUAGACGGAGUUCUGCGUCGGCCCGACCAAGCUGCUCCAGCGGAUUUUUUCAAAUCCCGCCGGCCAACUCGUGUCGCCACACACGAACGGCUGGGAACGUCUCUGACGAUAACCUCAACCCCCUCAGGACGAUCCGUCGAGCUCAAGAAGGAAGAUUAUCCUUGCGGCCUGAACAACUCGGCCUCUGUUUACUCACAGCACACCCAAUCCGUUUUCAGCAAGGCGGGUUGGUCGCCGACAAGGAACGAUCGUCACUACGUCAACAUGGUGACAAUCCGAGAACUACGGGACGACCAGGUUUCCAGCACCAACUCAAGCACCGGUUCCGUCCCCACCGAGGUUAUAAACACCGAAGACGAGGACUACGACCUGGAUUUUCCUUCACACCCUCCGGGUUUCAACCGAUUCCCGAUAUUUCCCCCCCGGCGAGGGGAUAUUGUGUUCAAUGUCAGCGCCGACGAACCGGUCGUUGAUGGAGAAACAGAUGACCAGAGGCAACUCCGCGAACAGCGCAACGCCGAUCGCGCCCGACGACGCGCAGACGAGCAACAACAAAUGCCACCAAAUAAUCUCAACGAUGCCUUUGACAUGGUCGGGGACCAGCCAGUCUACAAAACGCCAAGCGCCAACGUGGCUGUCGCCAUGGCUAACCUAGAUCGGCUUCCUGAUACCCCCGAGUGCCAGGGAGUCCGGACCAGCAUCCGAGCACACCUGAUCGCUGCAAUGGGACAGACAACCACUCUGCUCAAGAGAGUCCAGGACGUCUCUUAUACGGAAGCCGCUCCGACCAGACUAAUCGAAGCCGGGCCUCACCGUCUCCCAGCAGGCGUCACCGCAGCCGCUCCCCCGACAACCGUCGAGGGGACUCACGGCGCGACAAUGGUGGUCGGGACGCCGACAGUCGCCGCAAGCAGAACCGCGUACGCGGCCAAGAAGUAAACCAGCACAGGGAUCUCCGCCACAACAUCCCUCCCAAAGAUGCCCGGGACCGCAUCAACAGGCGCGCCGCAGAGAGAGCAGUCCACGAAAACCUACGCCGCAUCGAGUACGAUGCAACGCACGGUCCUCCGGGCCUAAGACAGUUCUCCUCACACCUCCGCCAGGUCGUGUGGCCCCGCAAUUUCAAGCUCGAAAAACUUAAAAAAUACGACGGCAAGGAAAAUCCAGAGAACUGGAUCACCCUCUAUGAAAUCGCCGUCCGAUCAGCGGCAGGGGAUGAGCACGUCAUGGCUAACUACUUCCCCGUAGUCCUCGACCAGGCUGGUCAUCAGUGGCUGCUCGGCUUGCCCGAGGACUCCUUCGACUCUUGGGAAGAGCUACGCCAGGCUUUCAUCGACAACUUCAUCGCCACAUGCGAGCAGCCUGGAAACAAGUAUGACCUUGAAAGGAUAAGGGACAGGAAGAACGAACCUCUGCGCGAUUACAUCCGACGAUUCUCGGAUAUGCGCCUCAAAAUCCCGAAGAUUUCCCACGACGAGGCCAUCUCAGCCUUCAUCAAGGGCCUGCGUUUCCACGAAGCGCUGAGGAACAAGCUGUUGCGUAAGCGUCCAACAACGGUAGCAGAGCUCCUCGCCACGGCCAAAAAUUACGCCGAUGCCGAUGACGCAGAAAAACUAAUCCGAGACGAUGCGAGAGGACCCGACCAGCCUCCCCGGCGAGAUGACGGUCGUGGUCGCUACGACAGCAGAAACCACCGCCGCUCCGACAACCGCGAUCACCGAGAGGGUUGGGAUCGGCGGCGCGACAACCGCGACGAUUUCAGAGGAAAGCGCCCUCGCGACUACGACCACGAAGUAAACACGGUCAAGCGUCCCAACGGACGACGGGACUACCAAGAAGACUACAACAAAACGUUGAAGGGACCAUGCCAACUGCACCCAAAGUCUAAUCAUACCAUGGAAGAGUGCCGCGUCCUCAAAAGCAUCUAUACACGGCGGGCCGCCCAAGACGACUCCGCCAAGAAAAACAACAAGCGAGACGGGCACGACCACGAAGAUGAGGACGAGGACCAAGAUAGGGACCCCCGACACCAGUACGUCAGCCCCACCGACGUGGUCCACUCCAUUUUCGGGGGCAAGGUCUCCAUUGAAUCUAAGCGAGAAAGAAAGCUGUUAAAGAGAGCUUGCCUCAACAUAGACAGCACGGACGGGCUGAUCGCAGACCCAAAAUUCCCCCCGUGGUCCCACAGGGAGAUCUCGUUCAGCAGGAAGGACCAGUGGGCCGCUAUCCCAGAGCCGGGUCGUUUCCCCCUGAUUCUGGACCCUUGCAUCAACAGCAUCAGAUUCGAGCGCGUGCUCGUGGACGGGGGAAGCUCCAUUGACAUCCUCUUUCGCAACAGCCUGCCCGCCCUCAAGAUAUCUCCUGCACAACUAAAACCUUACGACGCCCAAUUCUGGGGGUUUUGCCGGGUCAAAGUUCAGUGUCUCUCGGACAGAUAACAUUGCCUGUCCAAUUCGGCACACCCGACCACUUCCGGACGGAGUUCAUCAACUUCGUGGUCGCCGAUUUCGACGGGACCUAUCACGCUAUACUGGGCCGACCAUCGCUGACAAAGUUCAUGGCAGUCCCGCACUACUCAUACCUGGUCCUUAAGAUGCCUACGGAGAAGGGCGUCCUAACCGUCAGAGGCAAUGUUUACACUGCGUAUACCUGCGAAGAGGAGAGCUUCAAGGUCACCGAAGCACUCGACCUCUCAAUCCGCAUGGCAGAAACAGCAACUCAAGCCGCGCAGCUGCUUCCCGACCAGCUCCGAUUACCUGAGCAGGAGACAGCCAGAAAGAACUCAAAAUCCAAGGAGCACAAAGAAGUACAACUGGUCGAUGGCAGCCCCGAGAAGACGGCCCUCAUCGGGGCCAACCUGGAUCCAAAAUAGGAAGACGCGCUCGUCAGGUUUCUAAGGGACAACGUAAGCGUUUUCGCAUGGAAACCCGCAGACAUGCCCGGCGUCCCACGAAACCUGAUCGAGCACUCCUUAAAUGUCUCGAAGACCGCAAGACCAAUCAAGCAAAAGCUGCGACGGUUCGCUCGUGACAAAAAGGAGGCUAUUAGGACAGAAAUCACACGGCUUCUAGCAGCCGGAUUCAUAAAAGAAGUGUAUCACCCCGAUUGGCUCGCCAAUCCGGUUCUUGUACGAAAAAAGAAUAAUGAAUGGAGAAUGUGCGUUGAUUACACUGAUCUCAAUAAACACUGUCCUAAAGAUCCUUUUGGUCUCCCUCGCAUCGACGAGGUGGUCGACUCAACGGCCGGAUGCGAACUCCUCUCCUUUCUAGACUGCUACUCUGGUUAUCACCAGAUUUCGCUAAAGGAAGAAGAUCAGAUCAAAACGUCUUUUAUUACACCUUUCGGCGCAUACUGCUACACGACCAUGUCUUUCGGACUCAAAAACGCCGGAGCCACUUAUCAAAGGGCCAUCCAGCAAUGCCUCCACGACGAGAUUCGUGAUGACCUCGUCGAGGCCUAUGUGGACGACGUGGUCGUAAAAACAAGGGACGCGAGCACCCUAAUCGACAACUUAGACCGAACUUUCAAGGCACUCAAUAGGUACAAGUGGAAGCUCAACCCCAAGAAAUGCAUUUUCGGCGUUCCUUCCGGUCUACUGCUCGGCAACGUUGUCAGUCGCGACGGCAUACGACCAAACCCUUCAAAAGUAAAGGCGGUACUCGACAUGCGACCAUCGAAGAACGUAAAGGAUAUCCAAAAGCUAACCGGAUGUAUGGCUGCCCUCAGUCGCUUCAUCUCAAGGCUAGGAGAAAAAGGCCUCCCUUUCUUCAAACUAUUAAAAGCGUCGGAAAAAUUUUCUUGGACAGAAGAAGCCGACACCGCAUUCAACCAGCUUAAGACCUUCCUCACUUCACCACCUGUCCUUACAGCGCCUCAGCCCAAUGAAGACCUACUCCUUUACAUUGCUGCAACCGACAGGGUUGUUUCCACGGCAAUAGUGGUCGAGCGAGGUGAACCAGGUCACGCCUACAAAGUCUAGAAACCAGUUUACUUCAUAAGUGAAGUCUUAAACGAGUCCAAGGCCAGGUAUCCACAAAUACAGAAGCUCAUAUACGCCAUUCUAAUAACGUCAAGAAAGCUGAAGCACUACUUCGACGGCCAUCGAGUCCUGGUGACAACCAGUUUCCCUCUCGGGGACAUCCUGCGCAAUAAAGACGCCAAUGGCAGAAUCGUGAAAUGGGCAAUGGAAUUAUGUCCAUUUUCCCUGGAGUUCCAGAGUCGCACCACUAUCAAGUCUCAGGCCCUGGUCGAUUUCAUUGCUGAAUGGACGGAUCUCAACGAGCCUUCCGUUCCCGAUAUCUCAGACCACUGGUCAAUGUUCUUUGACGGGUCCUUGAACAUCAACGGUGCCGGCGCUGGGAUACUGUUCGUAUCACCCAACAAGGACAAACUGCGUUACGUCCUUCGGAUCCUUUUUCCGGCGUCAAACAACGUCGCCGAAUACGAAGCAUGCUUGCAUGGCAUAAGACUAGCCGUUGAGCUGGGAGUCAAGCGCCUCUAUGUUUAUGGCGACUCCGCUUUGGUCAUCAACCAGCUCAACAAGGAGUGGGACGCAACCCACGAGAAGAUGGAUCUCUACUGCAAAGAAAUUCGCAAAUGGGAAACCAACUUCUACGGCAUAGAGUACAUCCACGUGGUCCGGGAUAAGAACCAAGCAGCAGAUGCGUUGUCGAAGUUAGGCUCAUCUCGGGCCCAGAUCCCGCGGGGUAUUUUCGUCCAGGACAUCCACGAGCCGAGCGUAGGCUCCUCCCUGGUCGACAAGCAGCCCACCGAGGCAAUGCUCAUAGACGACGCCACUCCGACAACCGGUGGGCGUGACUGGCGUACCCCGUUCAUCAAAUACAUAUCGGACGGGACAGUCCUUCAGGACAAAACAGAGAACGAGCGCCUCAUUCGACGAUCAAAGAACUACAUCCUGGUCGACGGCAAACUCAUGCGGAAAAACGCAAGCUCCGAAGUACUGCUCAAGUGCAUACCCCAAGAUGAUGGUAUCAAGCUCUUAGAGGACAUACAUGCUGGAUCCUGCGGCAAUCACGCCGCAUCCAGAACGCUGGUCGGAAAGGCUUUCCGAGCAGGUUUUUAUUGGCCAACCGCGGUCGACGACGCAGAAAAACUGGUCCGACAUUGCGAAGGAUGUCAGUUUUUCGCUAAGAGGACCCACGUACCUGCCCACGAAAUUCAAACCAUCCCGUCGUCUUGGCCCUUCGCUUGCUGGGGGCUCGACAUGAUCGGGCCAUUUAAACCAGCCCCGGGCAAUUUCAAGUUCGUUUUCGUGUUAAUCGACAAGUUCUCCAAGUGGAUUGAAUACAUGCCUCUGGUCAAGGCAACCUCCGAGAAGGCUGUGGAGUUCCUCAAUCAAAUCAUACACAGAUUCGGCAUCCCGAACAGCAUAAUCACCGACCUAGGCACUCAGUUUACUGGCACCACUUUUUGGGACUUCUGCGAUGACAGAGGCAUAGUCAUAAAAUACGUGUCAGUGGCACAUCCACGUGCCAACGGUCAAGUUGAACGUGCUAACGGAAUGAUCGUUGACGCCCUAAAGAAAAGGUUGUACACCGAAAACGACAGAGCACUCGGUCGAUGGAUGAAAGAAUUGCCGGCAGUGGUCUGGGGCCUCCGAACUCAGACCAGUCGAAACACAGGGGUGUCUCCCUACUUCAUGGUGUACGGUUCAGAGGCGGUCCUGCCGUCUGACAUACACUUCGGAUCUCCUAGAAUCGAACACUUUGACCAGGUGACCGCCGACAACGCCAGAGAACUCGAAAUCAAUUGCAUGGAGGAAAUGCGUUUAGAUUCUUGUCUCCGAACAGCAAAAUAUCUCGCGGCAGUCAGGCGAUACUACAACAGGAACGUCAAGGACCGUUCCUUCGUGGUCGGCGAUCUGGUACUUCGAUGGAAAACAAGCCAGGAGGGAAUGCACAAGCUAUCCACUCCCUGGGAAGGACCCUUCGUGGUGACCGAGGUCACACGACCUACGUCCUACAGAUUGGCAUACCCAGACGGAACACGAGUGCCUAACUCUUGGCACAUAGACAAACUGCGACGUUUCUAUCCAUAAAGUUUUCAUAACUUUCCUUUGUAAGUAUCUUAUAAUUGUUGAUAAUGAAAUUCUCUAUUUUUUUCCUAUACUUUGUCGCACACAGCACUCGGCAAAACUCCUGCAAUGGAUGCUCUUAACGACUACCAAGACGAAUACGGUGACACGUCACUCAGAUAAUCUUACAGCGCUCAAAACAACAGUCAUGACAAAAAGCAAACUUUAUUACAAACUUUACAUACAAAGUUUACAAUAAAUACCCUGACGGGCAGACACUAGUCUAUUCCUACAGACUACUCUAUUGGCCUAGCUGCUCGGGCUGAUCACCCGCCUGGCCCUGCUGCCCGGACGAAGGGGUCGGGGCCACCGGCGCUUGGCUGGUCGAGACCGCAGGCGUCGACCGCCCAUCUCCCGCAACGGACGCGCCCGACAACUCCCUGGCCGACCUAUCUGGACUCGGCUGGUCUGGGAGAGUGGCCGUUCCGCACAGAUUGAUGUCGCCGAUCACUGUCGACGACAAGUCCAGCAGACUACCCCGAAGCUCGUCCGCUUCCUGUGGGCCGACCUCCUUCGGGUACCCCUUCUCCAGCCUGCCCAAGUCGACCAAGGGGUAGUGGGCGCGCACCAUGCUGAGGACGUGCGCGCCGGCAAACUCCCCGGCGUCCUUCACGAACUGCUGGAGCCAGUCCCACGCCCGUUGCGCCUUCUCGACCGGGGUCAACUGUGGCGCGCGGGGCUGGCUCUCUGGGAGCUCGGGACUGAUCAGGUCUAGGACCGGGGACACUCCUUUCCAGAUCCUGCAACAGUUGACCUUCCAGGAGUCCCGAUCCUUGAUCAGAUCAUCCAGGUGCUUCUUGGCGUUCACCUUGAGCACUGCAAACGAAACAAAGCGUUAUUUUCAGCAUACCAAACAAGUAAAGGGGCGACAAGCAGCAGCUAACAAGGCGGCACCCAUUACCAGAUAAUUCCCGGUCCUUUCGACCCAAUUCCUCUCCUGCUCGUCGCCCGGACUCCAGCGCACCGGCGAGCUGUUGGCUGAGCUGCUCCUUCUCUUGUCGGAGGCGCGCCACCUCCUCCUCCAAGUCUGCGUGAAUCAUAAACUGGUCAGUAAAGCAAACUACACAAGUACGCAAAGCUGCUCGGAGCGUGUGACUAACCUUCUCGCUGCCGGUACUGGUCGGCCAAGCGACGAGUGAGGUCGAGACGACGCUCCUCUUGGGCGCUCAUCUCGGCCACCUUCUCCCCGACUUCCGACCGCAGCCGGUCUACCUCCGCGGCCAGGGCCUUGUUCUCGGCCACGACGCCUUCUAUCUGGUCAAAGCACCGUUUCCGGUACUUUGCCGUUUUCAUUGCGCCCUACAAAGCGAACAUAUAACGACCAUGCAAGACAAGGCAUAGAAUGUACAGCAGUACAAAAAGUCGCUUACCUUGACUUCGUCGACGAGGCGCUUGGCUGCGCGCUCCACCCUGGCGGCCUCCUCGGUCUCGGCGAGCUCUUCAUGCCCGAUAAAGUGAUCCCCGCGUUGGCGCCACACAUACACGUGUUGGCGGCCAUCACGGGGACGACCCUCAAUCUCUUCCACCUCGUCCUCGGAGGCCGCCUGAGCUUCCUCCUCCCGCGCUGCGUUGCUUCCGGUAGCGGUCCCAGGCAUUACUGGUCCCUGGACCAGACCUGGGGAGCCUGCAGUCGGAGCGGCCCCUGCUCGGGGCGGUGUAGAGACUUCACCCUCCCCGGCGGGAGGAGGGGUCGGGGCCCUUCCCUCCCUUUCCGUGGUGCUGGCUGGGGGAGGAGUCCCCGUAGCCUCCUCAACCCUGGUCGGGCUGCUCAACGUAGCCGGUGCCGCGGCCGGGGACUCCUCGGCGCUCUCAGGCACGGCUGCAGCCGUAGGCUGCUCUGCGGUCUGCGGGGCCGCGUCUUCAGCAGCGCAAACCGGCUCACUCGUCCCCUGGCCAGCGGCAUGGCCAGGGUUGACAUCCGACACCGCGCUAAAGGAACAAAACUACAAUAAAAAAAAACAUCGGUGAAAUACGUAAGUCGAGCACUUACAGGUUUGAGCGGCGGUGGGUCGCGGUAAACCUCCUUCUCGUCCGACCAGUCGGCACCUGUGCUCUCGACUCCCCAGCGCCAGGCGCAGGUGGAUCGACGGCCACACGGUCGGCAGUGGUCGCCCUGCCGUCCGGACGGCUAGGAGGCCUCCGGACCAACGACGGAACGGCCUCCUCCUCCUCCUCGUCGUCGUCGAUCCGGACGAACCGACGCCGCUUCGGCGCUCGGCUGCUCUCCGCCGGCAGUGUCGGCAUCGGCAACGGAUCCACAGGCAUUGGCCUUUUCCCCGACACCCUUUCCUCGGUGGUUGGGACGGGGCGGGCUUGUUCCUCCUCACUGCUGGUGUAAUGAGCACACCGAGCAGCGUCCUCCUCUAGCGGGUCUUCUCCCGCAGGAUUCUCCAUCCCCGGUGCCAGUGAUACAUACACUGUGCACCGGUCGACAUCGCCGAUCUGCAAAAAGCAACAAAGAUGAGCCAGCCACAUACGAUAUACGAAUACUAAAACAAAAUAAUCUGCAACAUACCUUUGGUGCUGGUCAGCCUAACUUGAAGGCUUGCACCCGAUCACUGCCACGGAUGAAGCCUCCGUCCGCGAAGUUGAACAGCUCGUUCAACAGCCGUUGUACCUCCGCCUUCUCCAAGAUCUCCGGUCGCAUCCUGGUCGGGUCCACGCUUCCGGCAUACUCGUACGCCGAGUGCACCCUCUUCUGGCAGGGCAUCACCCGACGACAAAUAAAGUUGCCGACCACGCCAAGCCCAUCCAGGCGCGACCAGUCGAUCGGCUUCAUCAGAUCCGCCACUUGACCGUUGAACUCCGGGCGGUCGGUCCAGCUCACCCUCUUCUCGGGAAUGUACCCCACGUCGUAGAACGUGGAGCUGCCCGGUUCCUCCCUGACGUAGAACCACUUCCUAUACCAUUCGGUCAAGGAAGUGUUCCAUGGACAGUGCAGGUAGUGAUUCUUCAUUCCAUCACGAAGGUUGAGGUAUACUCCACCUGCAACCUUGGAGCCUCCAACUGCUCCCUUCUUCCUCAAGCAGAAAAGGUAACGGAAAAGAUCGAAGUGCGGCUCUAUGCCAACAUAGGCCUCGCACAGAUGAAUAAACGUAGAGAUAAGGAGAAUUGAGUUCGGGUGCAGAUUGCAAAUCCCGAUCUCAUAAUACAAAAGAAGACCUUGGAGAAAAGGAUGAACCGGAACCCCAAAUCCCCUCUUGACGAAAUCUUCGAACACGACGAUCUCACCGGCACGAGGGUCGGGGAAGCUUUCUCCUUCCGGCGCUCUCCAGCCGCCAAGCUCCGAGCUGUGCAGGAGUCCCAUGUCGACGAGGUCACCGAGGGAUUUGGUGGUGCUGCGGGACUUCUUCCACUCCUUGGCCAUCAGUUCGGCCCUCUUCUUGGAGUCGCUCUUCGCCAUUGGAGGUGAGAAGUGGAUUUGGGUUACGAAGAUGCAGGUGAUUGAAAGAGGCGAGAAUGGAAGGCUUGAGGGCAAUGGCAGGGUAAGGAGUACAGGCGGAACUGUCAGGCUCUUAUAACCCACAACUCCACCCCUCCCAUUUCCUGUAUUCUCGGGAAGUGGGCGGGCCAUGCGGCGGAUGCGGCGUUUCGGUUCACAAUGAUUAUAGACAAUUAAUGCGGCGGAGUUUUCGUACCAAUUGAUGGUUUCCUUUUUCUCAAACCACGCAAAGGGCGGCUGCACAGUUGCAAGGCGCAAUUUUUCAUGCGCCCAUCUGACAACCCAUCAGGAGGUCUCGUCAUGUCAACUUUAACUGAAAAGAUCGUUUCAAUAAAAAGAAGACAAAUAUGCCAGAGAGUCAACAAUCUGGGGACUGCACCGACCACCGAGCACUUGAUGCUCGGGGACUGGUCGACCAGUCCAUCAGCUCAGAACUUCAAAGACUGCACCGACCACCGAGCAGUUGAUGCUCGGGGACUGGUCGCCCAGUUCAUCAGCUCAGAACUUCAAAGACUGCACCGACCACCGAGCAGUUGAUGCUCGGGGACUGGUCGCCCAGUUCAUCAGCUCGGAACUUCAAAGACUACACUGACCACCGAGCACUCGAUGCUCGGGGACUGGUCGUACAGUAUAGCAACGCAGAAUACUAAGCAGCGCACUUGGCGCCUGGGUACUGGUCGUCAUACUAUUAUUUACGUUCCCAACCGCGCUUGGGGACUUGUCCAAUGGAACCUACACCAUGCUCGGGGACUGUACCGACCACCGAGCACUAUACGCUCGGGGACUGGUCGACCAGCCCACCAAUUUGAGCAUUCGGGGACUGUACCGACCACCGAGUGUUAUAUGCUCGGGGACUGGUCGAUUAGUCUAUUCAAUUGCAGACGGACUGGUAAAUUCAACUUUUUAGACCUUGCUACAAGGCUCAUACUUCGCCUUCCAGCAAGCUCGGGGACUACAUCGGUACGAUGCAUCUGGCGAUGCAUCUCAGUUUCAGAAUUUCUUUAAGGGCUUUUCUUUUGACCCUGGCACCACGUGCCUACGUCACCUACUACCAGGCUCGGGGACUAAGUGGGCACACUUCACCUUGCGGUGAAUAUGCUUGCUUUUUGAAAGACUAUACUUUUCAGAAAAGUAAAGUGGGCACACUUCACCAAGAAAGAAAUCUUUUUUAAUUUAGAGCACCAUGCAUUCUUCAAACAACCUGCUUCUUCGAUGUCAAUGUUGAUCAACUAUUUUUUGAGUUGGUCAAAAUACUGUUGCAACUGUUUGGACGACUUUCCUGCUUAUUGAAGACGUCAAGCCUCACUGAUCGAAGAAGCUCAAGACGGCGUGUUACAUCACAAUACAUGGUGCUCGGGGACUAGCUGUGGGGGGAUAGACCCCUAUACCCUUACGGCUAGACUUGGGCCAGGAGGCUUGGCCCAUUACGAGACGAGUUCAAGGCUUGAUCCGACAGCCUGGAGUUUCGCGCAAGGAAGCAAGAUGUGGAGAUCAAGCAGGAUUCUAGUCGGUUAGAAUAGGAAUUGAUAUCGAACUAUCUAUGACAAUUGUAACCGACUAGGAUUAGUUUCCAGAUCUGUAACCCUGCCCUUCAGACUAUAUAAGGAGAGGCAAGGGACCCCCCUAGGACAUCAUAUUCUCUCAACACAAAUCAAUACAACCAGACGCAGGACGUAGGUAUUACGCCAACUCGGCGGCCGAACCUGGAUAAAAAGCUUGUCCGUGUCUUGCGUCACCAUCGAGUUCGUAGUUUGCGCACCGUCUACCGAUAAACUACUACCGUGGGUAUACCCCAAGGUAGACUGUCGACCAGCUUUCGUCGACACCAAGGUCCCGAGGUAGACGCAGCUGAACGGCCCGGGGUGAUCGGCAAGGAUGCGGGAGACCGAGUCGUAGAGGGCGAGCAAGCGACGGUGAUGGGAUCCCCCGGAGUCCAAUUCAGCUGGAAAGAGACAUAGGUCGACGAGGACGAGCGGGGCGGAGCGCCAGAUCGGGCGCCAACGGCGGGAGAGGACGGCGGUGCGUGCGGCCUCCUUGAGUUCGAGGCGCGAGACGAUGUUGCGGAGGACCGCGUCGGGGAGGCCGC